GCGUCAAUAAUGAAAUCUUUGUCUUGUCUCUAAAGAGGAGUUGUCUUAAAAGUCAUGCAUAAUAGAGUUAUGCUGAGGACC
RNAcentral lists this small nucleolar RNA (81 nucleotides) under Carlito syrichta (Philippine tarsier). RNAcentral describes it as "Small nucleolar RNA SNORD115 (ENSTSYG00000027267.1)". It matches the Rfam family "Small nucleolar RNA SNORD115". From Rfam's summary of the family: HBII-52 is a member of the C/D class of snoRNAs, which contain the C (UGAUGA) and D (CUGA) box motifs. HBII-52 is encoded in a tandemly repeated array with another C/D snoRNA, HBII-85, in the Prader-Willi syndrome (PWS) region of chromosome 15. HBII-52 is exclusively expressed in the brain but is absent in PWS patients. Lineage: Eukaryota; Metazoa; Chordata; Mammalia; Primates; Tarsiidae. The record is from Rfam by way of RNAcentral.